Molecule: small nuclear RNA, 103 nt
Filed under: Capra hircus (goat)
Lineage: Eukaryota; Metazoa; Chordata; Mammalia; Artiodactyla; Bovidae
Source: RNAcentral
GUGCUCAUUUUGGCAGCACAUAUAUUAAAACUGAAACAAUACAGAGAUUAGCAUGGCCCCUGUGCAAAGAUGACAUGAAAAUAUGGAAGCAUUCCAUAUUUUC